This 492-nucleotide ribosomal RNA is filed under the name uncultured bacterium. RNAcentral's name for it is "partial 16S ribosomal RNA". It matches the Rfam family "Bacterial small subunit ribosomal RNA", at positions 29 to 507 of the family's 1533-position model. The record is from RNAcentral.
AGUGAACGCUGGCGGUAGGCCUAACACAUGCAAGUCGAACGGCAGCACAGUAAGAGCUUGCUCUUACGGGUGGCGAGUGGCGGACGGGUGAGGAAUACAUCGGAAUCUACUUUUUCGUGGGGGAUAACGUAGGGAAACUUACGCUAAUACCGCAUACGACCUACGGGUGAAAGCAGGGGAUCUUCGGACCUUGCGCGAUUGAAUGAGCCGAUGUCGGAUUAGCUAGUUGGCGGGGUAAAGGCCCACCAAGGCGACGAUCCGUAGCUGGUCUGAGAGGAUGAUCAGCCACACUGGAACUGGGACACGGUCCAGAUUCCUACGGGAGGCAGCAGUGGGGAAUAUUCGACAAUGGGCGCAAGCCUGAUCCAGCAAUACCGCGUGGUUGAAGAAGGCCUUCGGGUGGUAAAGCCCUUUUGUUGGGAAAGAAAAGCAGCAGGUUAACACCCCGCUGUUCUGACGGUACCCAACGAAUAAGCACCGGCUAACUUCGUG